Molecule: ribosomal RNA, 406 nt
Filed under: uncultured bacterium
Lineage: Bacteria
Description: partial 16S ribosomal RNA
Rfam family: Bacterial small subunit ribosomal RNA
Source: RNAcentral
AUUGAACGCUGGCGGCAGGCCUAACACAUGCAAGUCGAGCGAGCGGCGGACGGGUGAGUAAGGUCUGGGAAACUACCUGAUGGAGGGGGAUAACUACUGGAAACGGUAGCUAAUACCGCAUACCAUCAGAUGUGCCCGGUUGGGAUUAGCUAGUAGGUGGGGUAACGGCUCACCUAGGCGACGAUCCCUAGCUGGUAUGAGAGGAUGACCAGCCAAACUGGAAUUGAGACACGGUCCAGACUCCACCGGGAGGCAGCAGUGGGGAAUAUUGCACAAUGGGCGCAAGCCUGAUGCAGCCAUGCCGCGUGUGUGAAGAAGGCCUUCGGGUUGUAAAGCACUUUCAGCGGGGAGGCGUUACCCGAAGAAGAAGCACCGGCUAACUCCGUGCCAGCAGCCGCGGUAAUAC